RNAcentral lists this ribosomal RNA (119 nucleotides) under Parus major (Great Tit). Lineage: Eukaryota; Metazoa; Chordata; Aves; Passeriformes; Paridae. The record is from RNAcentral.
GCCUACGGCCAUAGCAUCCUGAGAACGCCCGAUCCCGUUUGAACUCGGAAGCUAAGCAGCGUCGGGCCCGGUUAGUACUUGGAUGGGAGACCGCCUGGGAAUACCGAGUGCUGUAGGCC